GGGCUCAGCAUGACCAACAGAGCCCACAGGUGAGCAGGCACAGGUGAAGACUUCACCAUGACCCAUGGAGCCCACAGGUGAGCAGGCUCAGGUGAGGGCUUCACCAUGACCAAUGGAGCCCACAGGUGAGCAGGCACAGGUGAGGACUUCACCAUGACCAAUGGAGCCCACAGGUGAGCUGACUAGGUGGGAGAGUUUCACCAUGACCAACAGUGCCCACAGGUGAGCAGGCACAGGUGAGGGCUUCACCAUGACCCAAGGAGCCCACAGGUAAGCAGGCACAGGUGAAGGCUUCACCAUGACCAAUGGAGCCCACAGGUGAGCAGGCUCAGGUGAGGGCUUCACCAUGAUCCAAGGAGCCCACAGGUGAGCAGGCACAGGUGAGGACUUCACCAUGACCAAUGCAGCCCACAGGUGAGCAGGCUCAGGUGAGGGCUUCACCAUGACCAAUGGAGCCCACAGGUGAACAGGCACAGGUGAGAGCUUCACCAUGACCCAUGGAGCCCACAGGUGAGCAGGCUCAGGUGAAGGCUUCACCAUGACCAAUGGAGCCCACAGGUGAGCAGGCACAGGUGAGGGUUUCACCAUGACCCAUGGAGCCCACAGGUGAACAGGCUCAGGUGAGAGCUUCACCAUGACCCAUGGAGCCCACAGGUGAGCAGGCUCAGGUGCACCCCUCCUCCAGUUCCUCCUGCUCUCUGGCUGUCGGCAUUCUGUGCCCAGAGCAUAAGAGUCCAGGCUGACAGAUGGAGCUCAGAGGCCAGGGCAUUUACCCUGUCUCAGCCCUGGCCCUGCCCCAGGGCCUCAGCACUUGUCAGAAAACAGUGUGAUUCCUGUACUGCCGGUGUCUACGGUCCCUAAACGCCCCGCGUUCUCGCGUGACCUCCUGACGGAACCCAGGCACCCUCCCUUCACCUCCCUGCUUCUGCAGCAGGGAGGCUGCCGGUACGUGAAGGCUCCGGCCUGGGUGUCCCUGCUCUAGGCCUUCCGGAGGCACCCCACCGAGACAUCAGUUGGAACCAGUCAGUUCUCCAGCCGUUGCCAGGUCCUGCUGCUUCCCUGACCAGCAUACUUGCCACACUACCAUCCACUGCUAUGACCCUCCAGCAGCCCACACACCCAGGCCUCAUAGGAGCCUGGCUCUCAUUCUGCCUCAGGAGGUGCUGGCCAGGUGGCCUCUCCUCAGAGACCCAGGACCUGUCCAAGGUACCCCUCCAGGUGCCAUAGCUUGCAGACACACCCAGGCCCCAGUCUCAGCCUCACCUUCUCAGCUCGCAUCUUCAGCCCUGCUCUGCGUCAUCCACAUGGCAGUCAGAGUACCUGGUCAGGCUGCAGCCUGGCUGGACAGACAAGGCCCAGAGGACCCAGUGCACAGUGGCUCCCUAUUCAGACAGUCACCAACUUAAAAAAAAAAAAAUUAAAAUGCAUCCCAAAUGUAAGUUUAUCAUAAGAGACCAGAAAGCCGGCCUCAGUACACAGAACUAAU
Non-coding RNA from Ictidomys tridecemlineatus (thirteen-lined ground squirrel), 1486 nucleotides. The record is from RefSeq and is a predicted model, not a curated record. NCBI's taxonomy places the organism in Eukaryota, Metazoa, Chordata, Mammalia, Rodentia, Sciuridae.